AAUGAAAGGCUCGCUGCUGCCCUGGCUGGGAUCAAAGGGUGACUAGCAACAGCAGCUGUGAAAACCACCACCCCGGAGGGAGCAGGGGAAGGCAGGGGCUAUGAAUGUAGGCUGAGAGGGGGGCUCAGGCUGACAGGUAAUGUGAAUGCAGGAGUAAGAGAAGAUGAGAAGCGAUGUUCUCACUUGAAAUGGGGUUGCCUGUGUUCUGCUUCACCUGUGCUGUUUUUUUGCGAGAAGUCUUUCUGAUUUCUGUGAGAUCUCUAGAAGGAGCUGUAAUAGAGAAAUUAUAAGCUGACCUCUUUAAGGAUAUCUGACACCGUGAAUAUUAGAACCUGGGCUCAGUUCUCAGGAGUCAUGGGAUGUUUGGUUGUGAAAGUGCAAUAGUAAUAAUUUGAAAUAAUUUACAGUCAUGAGGGGUGCUCUGUCUGCCAUGUUCGUGGACCAAGAAAGGCGGCUGUAGCUCAAGGCAAGACUACAGCGAAUGUAGCAGUCUACUAAUACAGUAAAAUUCUGGGCUCAACUGAUACCGAUGGGGGUGAGAGGACUGUGGGCUGAA
Molecule: long non-coding RNA, 556 nt
Filed under: Anas platyrhynchos platyrhynchos (common mallard)
Lineage: Eukaryota; Metazoa; Chordata; Aves; Anseriformes; Anatidae
Description: lncRNA (ENSAPLG00000024231.1)
Source: RNAcentral